RNAcentral lists this long non-coding RNA (261 nucleotides) under Equus caballus (horse). RNAcentral's name for it is "lncRNA (ENSECAG00000045400.1)". Lineage: Eukaryota; Metazoa; Chordata; Mammalia; Perissodactyla; Equidae. The record is from RNAcentral.
AAACACCUAUGUGAACAAUGCAAAUAGGAGAAAACCAAAGAGUUCUCAAAAAUUCAGAUUCUCCUAAAAGUAGCAAACCAAAAUGCCAUUACUUCUACAUGGCCCAUUUCACAAGUGGUUUCAGCAGUACAAAUUGGGGUAUUUCAUUUUUUUGCUAAGUUUACAACACUGCUUCAGACAAAGAAAGCCUAGAUGAAAGCUUAGAUGACGUUAUAAAAAACAUACAGAAUACUUUUUUAAAAAAAUAAAGGCAAGACUAAA